Molecule: long non-coding RNA, 1044 nt
Organism: Lagopus muta (rock ptarmigan)
Lineage: Eukaryota; Metazoa; Chordata; Aves; Galliformes; Phasianidae
Exons: 4
Source: RefSeq, a predicted model, not a curated record
AUCACCUCUCUUGGUGUUUUCUGGUGAGCUCAGCUAAAGGGUGCUCAAGACCAGGUUGGAUGAGGCCCUGGGAAGUCUGGCCUGCUGGCUGGUAAUCCUGCCUACAGCAGGGCAUUGGAACUGGGUGAUGUUUAAGGCCCCUUCCAACCCAAGCCAUUCUGUGAUAUGAUUCUAUGGUUUAAAGAGGGGCUCCAGGUGUACCCAGAUGAAACAGUUGUGGUCAUCAAAAGCCAAUUCCACACUUGCAAGUCUUGCUCCUGGCCUUGUUAAUUAAUGCAAAUGACCUUGAAGCCUAAUUACUCAAAGUCACAGUGAAAGCCUUGGAGCAGGGCUGAGGCAAUGCCCUGGCAUGGGUUUGUUGAGAGACAGUGCAGCAGCUGUGUUGUGUCGAUGGCUUUCACCUGGUGUUCAGGUUCCAUAAAGUUGAGUCUAAAAUCUCCUGUGCAGAGUUUUCCAAUUAUUUAAGAACACCUUCUACACCAAAGUAGUUGGAGCAGAGAAAUUAGAUGCACUCCCUCUAAAUAAAGGACUUCUCAAAGGCAUGCCUGGAUGAUAGCAUAUUCUCGUUCUAACUCAAGCUGUAGGACAAGUUUUAGUCAACAUUUCAUGCACUUCCAAGCAUCAGAGACAUCCAGCUCCUCUGCUGCCCUGGAACCUCCCGCACUGUGGCCUCCUUAGCAAUUAGUGCCUCAGGACGACCAUCCUCUGAGAACACCAGCAGCACCAUCACCGAGGCUAACACAACUACCUCAGCAGCUCCAGUCUGCUUACUCUGUUCCACUGUUUACUCUGAUGCUCACUUUCAAAGGGCAUUUCAUGUAGAAUUACUGAAAAAUGUGCUGGCAGAUGCUGCAGCUAAGAAUAACACGAAGCAGUCAGGUGAUUUGCAUAUGAAUUUCUGCUGGUGAAGAUGAGUAAUCUGACAUUCUUGUUUUCUUAAAUUAAAAUCCCACUCGGAAUAUUUUCCCUAUGGCAAAUUGUUAAUAGUGUAUCAAUUUGGUUUUGAAAUCAAAUCAAAUAAAAACUUUCAGAGCAUCUAUAAAC